UACGAAGGGGGCUAGCGUUGCUCGGAAUCACUGGGCGUAAAGCGCACGUAGGCGGAUCUUUAAGUCAGGGGUGAAAUCCUGGAGCUCAACUCCAGAACUGCCUUUGAUACUGGGGAUCUCGAGUCCGGGAGAGGUGAGUGGAAUUCCUAGUGUAGAGGUGAAAUUCGUAGAUAUUCGCAAGAACACCAGUGGCGAAGGCGGCUCACUGGCCCGAUACUGACGCUGAGGCACGAAAGCGUGGGGAGCAAACAGG
This 253-nucleotide ribosomal RNA is filed under the name uncultured bacterium. Its description in RNAcentral is "partial 16S ribosomal RNA". It matches the Rfam family "Bacterial small subunit ribosomal RNA", at positions 524 to 776 of the family's 1533-position model. The record is from RNAcentral.